This 244-nucleotide long non-coding RNA is filed under the name Lathyrus oleraceus (garden pea). Its description in RNAcentral is "Pisum sativum (pea) long non-coding RNA (PSAT_LNC001778)". The record is from RNAcentral. Lineage: Eukaryota; Viridiplantae; Streptophyta; Magnoliopsida; Fabales; Fabaceae.
UUUUGAGAUAAAAAAUGUAGAUGAAAUAUUUUUAUAAAACUGAGAAUAUAAAAAGAGUCUAAUCAGCAUUGAUAUAUUUUAGACUAAAUUCGUUAAAAUUUUAAAUAUGUAAUUAAUCAAUGUAAAUAUAUAACUUUUUUAGGUUUAGUAUUUUGUAGUUUCUAAAAAUACUUAUUUUUGACUAUGUCCUUACAAAAUUGAUUUAUAGUAGAAUUAAUUUUAUAAUUUAGUAAAAUAUUGUUGG